ACCAAACAUAGCUUUAGUAUAUCUGAUCUUGUAAAAUUCAAUUUUCAAGGGCGGGCCCACGAGGACGCUCCACCCAGAGCUAACACGAACGCCAUCGUGUCCGGUUCUUUCAGACCGGUUUCACCCAAUCGUCACCUACGCUGGCGCGUCGCUCAUUUUCCCCGGCGGAGAACCGGUUCCGCCACCGUAUCGGCGGUUUUGGAGGCCAACGAAGACACCUCCGUGAAGGAUCUGAAUGCUUCUCUGGUGAGAAUAGUCGCUCUCGUCGGAGAAGGUAGCGUCAGCCCUCCGAAAUCCACACCAUGGCUCGAGGUUAUGCUCCACACUGUAAGUAUCGCCGUAGCUCCAACUUUCUCUCUCUUCUCUCUCUCUACAUAUACAAACACGUGUCUAUUGAUGGAGUAUGUGAAUUUUUGAUAUUUGGCCUUGGAAGUGGAUUUCGUUUCGAGGAAACUUGAUGUUGGCCGAUGAAACUUCAUGCAAUGUGGAGAUAUGAGUAAAAUGAUGUCUUAUGCUAAAAUUACUCAGGAAUUGGGGGUAUUGUUAGGAUUAUAGUGAAGUGGAAUCUCUUUUAUUUCGUUUUUAUGGAUAAUAUCACUCGUGUGGAUAAUGGCAUACGUGAAUGUUUUCUUUUAAAUUGACUAUACUGUGUAGUUUCAAUUUUUAAAAUCGUUGUUGCGUUGAUGAAAUUAAAUAAAAAGAUGAACUAUUAGGUGUUGUUUAAGUCGAUUAACCCAUGCUACC
RNAcentral lists this long non-coding RNA (744 nucleotides) under Actinidia chinensis (golden kiwifruit). Its description in RNAcentral is "long non-coding RNA (ACHI_LNC003726)". The record is from RNAcentral. Lineage: Eukaryota; Viridiplantae; Streptophyta; Magnoliopsida; Ericales; Actinidiaceae.